AGAAUAUCACUUGACUUGGAUAUGAUUUGAAAUAGUAAAGUAAAUGGUGUAUGAUAGUCAAAUUAGAUAGCCUAAGUUGAGUCAUAAAUUAGUUGCACUUAUGGACAGCAAAAUUAAUAUUGAAAUGAAAUAAUGUUAAAUAAGAAAAUAUCCCAAUCAUUAUGUAAUAUUGUGUAACUAUUAAGUAAUUGUCCAAUACAUCAUCUCAGUCUUCAAUAGAGGUUGAAUAUUGUGUGUUAGCUGCUACCACUAUAAAAAUCAUC
Molecule: long non-coding RNA, 263 nt
Filed under: Spirodela polyrhiza (greater duckweed)
Lineage: Eukaryota; Viridiplantae; Streptophyta; Magnoliopsida; Alismatales; Araceae
Description: long non-coding RNA (SPOL_LNC000862)
Source: RNAcentral